This 534-nucleotide ribosomal RNA is filed under the name uncultured bacterium. RNAcentral describes it as "bacterial SSU rRNA". It matches the Rfam family "Bacterial small subunit ribosomal RNA", at positions 138 to 705 of the family's 1533-position model. The record is from RNAcentral.
UCGGAAUAACUCAGGGAAACUUGAGCUAAUACCGGAUAAUGACGUAAGUCCAAAGAUUUAUCGCCGAGGGAUGAGCCCGCGUAAGAUUAGCUAGUUGGUGAGGUAAAGGCUCACCAAGGCUACGAUCUUUAGCUGGUCUGAGAGGAUGAUCAGCCACACUGGGACUGAGACACGGCCCAGACUCCUACGGGAGGCAGCAGUGGGGAAUAUUGGACAAUGGGCGAAAGCCUGAUCCAGCAAUGCCGCGUGAGUGAUGAAGGCCUUAGGGUUGUAAAGCUCUUUUACCCGGGAUGAUAAUGACAGUACCGGGAGAAUAAGCUCCGGCUAACUCCGUGCCAGCAGCCGCGGUCCUACGGAGGGAGCUAGCGUUGUUCGGAAUUACUGGGCGUAAAGCGCACGUAGGCGGCUUUGUAAGUUAGAGGUGAAAGCCCGGGGCUCAACUCCGGAACUGCCUUUAAGACUGCAUCGCUUGAAUCCAGGAGAGGUGAGUGGAAUUCCCGAGUGUAGAGGUGAAAUUCGUAGAUAUUCGGAAGA